This 99-nucleotide ribosomal RNA is filed under the name Romboutsia ilealis. The record is from RNAcentral. RNAcentral also lists the same sequence under 2 other names. Lineage: Bacteria; Bacillati; Bacillota; Clostridia; Peptostreptococcales; Peptostreptococcaceae.
UUAUUAUAGCAAAGAGGAUACACCUGUUCCCAUACCGAACACAGAAGUUAAGCUCUUUAGCGGCAAUGGUACUUGGUGGGCGACCGCCUGGGAGAGUAG